CUUUGUUGCCAGCGGUUAGGCCGGGAACUCAAAGGAGACUGCCAGUGAUAAACUGGAGGAAGGUGGGGAUGACGUCAAGUCAUCAUGGCCCUUACGACCAGGGCUACACACGUGCUACAAUGGCGCAUACAAAGAGAAGCGACCUCGCGAGAGCAAGCGGACCUCAUAAAGUGCGUCGUAGUCCGGAUUGGAGUCUGCAACUCGACUCCAUGAAGUCGGAAUCGCUAGUAAUCGUGGAUCAGAAUGCCACGGUGAAUACGUUCCCGGGCCUUGUACACACCGCCCGUCACACCAUGGGAGUGGGUUGCAAAAGAAGUAGGUAGCUUAACCUUCGGGAGGGCGCUUACCACUUUGUGAUUCAUGACUGGGGUGAAGUCGUAACAAGGUAACCGUAGGGGAACCUGC
RNAcentral lists this ribosomal RNA (405 nucleotides) under Salmonella enterica. RNAcentral describes it as "bacterial SSU rRNA". It matches the Rfam family "Bacterial small subunit ribosomal RNA", at positions 1110 to 1515 of the family's 1533-position model. Lineage: Bacteria; Pseudomonadati; Pseudomonadota; Gammaproteobacteria; Enterobacterales; Enterobacteriaceae. The record is from RNAcentral. RNAcentral also lists the same sequence under 2 other names.